UGACUUCUCCUAAUCUAUAAGCAGCAAGAGCAGAUGUGCUUGUAAGAAACAAAGAUCUUGUUUUCAUACAAAUGCGCUCAAAAUAAAACACAAAGGAAGAAAAAUACCCAGAGCACAUAAUGCAAAGAACAAGAAUUGCUUCUAAAUAGAAUGUUUUACAAAGUUUUCCAUAAAGCCUCAGCUGCUCCUCAAGCCACAACCGGCUUGAACAUGGAUGGCAGACAUGAAAUUACAGUAUUCACAAAAUUAGUAUUCAGUUUGCAGAAUCUCUCUUUCCAAAGCCUUCAGGCAUACUUUAUGCAUGCACAAUUACAGAAGCAGGAAAAUCACAUGGAGAGUGAAAAUAUCAGAAAGUCGCUAAUGUUGGGCUUAGAACUGAUCAAAGAGUUUUGUGUACGAUAGACUGCCUAAUGGUACCAGGCCUGACAGCCUGCAGUGUCCCCCUCACAUCAAGAAUGACCUCUGAAGGCAAUAUUUCCAAAGACUUGCGGGUAAGGUACUCCUCUGUCUUCCAUAUUACGUUGUGAAGGAACAUCAUUCCUUCCUUUUUAAAUAUUCAACCAGUCUGAUGCCAAACAUUCAUCUAACAUAAAUAUGGGAAAAUGUUAAACAAUAUAUUUUGAACAUACCAGAUACCAUAUUCAUUUUAUUUGUUGGCUACUACCUGAUGUUUUAGGAAGCUCUUCUGGGUUAGGUUAUUCAAGGGACAUGAGUAUUUGCAUAAGAGCCUUAUCUCUAAUUGCAAAGUGACACUCUUAAGACUGUUAAAAGAAACUAUUGUUCAAGGUAGAUGGAAUUAGAAGACCCUCAGCAUGUGGGACUUAUAUGCCAGCUGAAUAGACCCCAGACUAUCAGUGCACUCAGGGAAGUAAAGUUUGACAGUAUUUAUAUGCUUUACUUAUGAACUGGAUUUGGUAUCUUAGAAUAUUUUCUUUGAAAAGGUAGUUCCAUUUUUGGCUUUCUUGCUUCUUCAUAGUGCCAAUCUAGGUCAACAGGAGUAAGUGAGACCAUUGUUCCAUAUCCCGCUUAAAAAGAGAACACUACUUCAAAGACAAGAACAACAUCACCUGACAAAAAUAAAAGAAGUUAUCGGUUUUAAA
RNAcentral lists this long non-coding RNA (1100 nucleotides) under Homo sapiens (human). RNAcentral describes it as "HSALNT0046732". Lineage: Eukaryota; Metazoa; Chordata; Mammalia; Primates; Hominidae. The record is from RNAcentral.